Molecule: small nucleolar RNA, 132 nt
Filed under: Carlito syrichta (Philippine tarsier)
Lineage: Eukaryota; Metazoa; Chordata; Mammalia; Primates; Tarsiidae
Description: Small nucleolar RNA SNORA51 (ENSTSYG00000028323.1)
Rfam family: Small nucleolar RNA SNORA51
About the family: ACA51 is a member of the H/ACA class of snoRNA that guide the sites of modification of uridines to pseudouridines.
Source: Rfam by way of RNAcentral
GGUCUCCUGGUGCUUACCACAGGCUGUGUUCUUACACCGGCUGUAUGGAAAAAGGAGGCAGAGUAAAUCUACCCCAUAUAUACCUCAGUCCAGACCCUAUGUCUGGUCUGUAUUGUGAAUGAGGGGACAUGG